RNAcentral lists this long non-coding RNA (362 nucleotides) under Scleropages formosus (Asian bonytongue). RNAcentral's name for it is "lncRNA (ENSSFOG00015032474.1)". Lineage: Eukaryota; Metazoa; Chordata; Actinopteri; Osteoglossiformes; Osteoglossidae. The record is from RNAcentral.
AACAAUAAUUGCCGCUCCUUAUAACUGCAGUUCCUGAGCUGCUCAGUGGGCAUGGGGUUGGAGUCCAGCUCGGAGUGUGUGGAGUUUGCAUGUUUCUCUCCGUCUUUGAACUCCCCAGACACGCAAGGAAGAAAGCAUUGGCAAACCACUUUCAUUCCUCCCAUGCCUUGGAAACCACAUGAGCGGUUGCACUGAAUCGGACUCGACUCCAUGGCACAUCUGUCCACCCAUCAGGCCACUUGUACAGGGGCAGUGGGUAGAGCAGCAGUUAAGGAAAUAGAAUUUCAGCCAAAAGACCCAGGGGUUCAAGUCUCUUUCCCUGCUACUGCUGCAGCACCCUUGAGCAAAGUACUUACCCUGAA